Molecule: long non-coding RNA, 228 nt
Filed under: Vicia faba (fava bean)
Lineage: Eukaryota; Viridiplantae; Streptophyta; Magnoliopsida; Fabales; Fabaceae
Source: RNAcentral
AUGUUUUCACACAGAAAUGGAGUAUGGGGUUUGAUAACACUGAACCCAGCUUUCAAGAAUGCCACUGAUCAGUUGGAGGUGUUGAUCUUCCCGGGCAUUCGGGUUCUCUGGACAAAGAUGGAUCUAGAGAAGGUGUUGUUGAAGGAGAGAUUAUCGAUAAUAGUAAGAAGAACGAGGGAUGCUUUUUUAUCAAGUUUUUGUGCCUUUAAUGUCGUUGAAACUUUGUAA